GAUGAACGCUGGCGGCGUGCCUAAUACAUGCAAGUCGAGCGAAUGGAUUAAGAGCUUGCUCUUAUGAAGUUGGCGGCGGACGGGUGAGUAACACGUGGGUAACCUGCCCAUAAGACUAGGAUAACUCCGGGAAACCGGGGCUAAUACCGGAUAACAUUUUGAACCGCAUGGUUCGAAAUUGAAAGGCGGCUUCGGCUGUCACUUAUGGGUGGACCCGCGUCGCAUUGGCUAGUUGGUGAGGUAACGGCUCACCAAGGCAACGAUGCGUAGCCGACCUGAGAGGGUGAUCGGCCACACUGGGACUGAGACACGGCCCAGACUCCUACGGGAGGCAGCAGUAGGGAAUCUUCCGCAGUGGACGAAAGUCUGACGGAGCAACGCCGCGUGAGUGAUGAAGGCUUUCGGGUCGUAAAACUCUGUUGUUAGGGAAGAACAAGUGCUAGUUGAAUAAGCUGGCACCUUGACGGUACCUAACCAGAAAGCACCGGCUAACUACGUGCCAGCAGCCGCCGUAA
Molecule: ribosomal RNA, 515 nt
Filed under: uncultured bacterium
Lineage: Bacteria
Description: partial 16S ribosomal RNA
Rfam family: Bacterial small subunit ribosomal RNA
Source: RNAcentral